RNAcentral lists this ribosomal RNA (1201 nucleotides) under uncultured organism. RNAcentral describes it as "bacterial SSU rRNA". It matches the Rfam family "Bacterial small subunit ribosomal RNA", at positions 163 to 1368 of the family's 1533-position model. The record is from RNAcentral.
UUAAUACUUCAUAAAGUCAAUUUAAGGCAUCUUUUAUUGAUUAAAGCUCCGGCGGUUAGAGAUGGGCAUGCGUGUCAUUAGCUAGUUGGUGAGGUAACGGCUCACCAAGGCCACGAUGACUAGGGGGUCUGAGAGGAUGAUCCCCCACACUGGUACUGAGACACGGACCAGACUCCUACGGGAGGCAGCAGUGAGGAAUAUUGGGCAAUGGACGCAAGUCUGACCCAGCCAUGCCGCGUGCAGGAUGACUGCCCUAUGGGUUGUAAACUGCUUUUGUUUGGGAAGAAACCCCCGAUCGUGAUCGGGGCUGACGGUACCAUACGAAUAAGCAUCGGCUAACUCCGUGCCAGCAGCCGCGGUAAUACGGAGGAUGCAAGCGUUAUCCGGAUUCAUUGGGUUUAAAGGGUGCGCAGGCGGAAUAUUAAGUCAGUGGUGAAAUCCUGCAGCCUAACUGUAGAACUGCCAUUGAUACUGAUAUUCUUGAAUAUAGUUGAGGUGGGCGGAAUGUGUAAUGUAGCGGUGAAAUGCUUAGAUAUUACACAGAACACCAAUUGCGUAGGCAGCUCACUAAACUAAUAUUGACGCUGAGGCACGAAAGCGUGGGUAGCAAACAGGAUUAGAUACCCUGGUAGUCCACGCUGUAAACUAUGAUCACUCGCUGUUGGCAAUACAUCGUCAGCGGCUGAGCGAAAGCAUUAAGUGAUCCACCUGGGGAGUACGGUCGCAAGAUUGAAACUCAAAGGAAUUGACGGGGGCCCGCACAAGCGGAGGAACAUGUGGUUUAAUUCGAUGAUACGCGAGGAACCUUACCUGGGCUUAAAUGCAGAGCGACGUCCGCCGAAAGGUGGAUUCCUUCGGGCGAUCUGCAAGGUGCUGCAUGGUUGUCGUCAGCUCGUGCCGUGAGGUGUCGGGUUAAGUCCCAUAAUGAGCGCAACCCUUAUCGUUAGUUGCCAGCGGGUAAUGCCGGGGACUCUAACGAAACUGCCGGUGUAAACCGUGAGGAAGGUGGGGAUGACGUCAAAUCAGCACGGCCCUUAUGUCCAGGGCUACACACGUGUUACAAUGGUCGGUACAGAGGGCAGCUACCACGCAAGUGGAUGCUAAUCUCGAAAACCGGUCUCAGUUCGGAUUGAAGUCUGCAACUCGACUUCAUGAAGCUGGAUUCGCUAGUAAUCGCGCAUCAGCCAUGGCGCGGUGAAUA